CAGUCGCCGCGGUAAAACGAAGGGUGCAAGCGUUACUCGGAAUUACUGGGCGUAAAGCGUGCGUAGGUGGUGGUUUAAGUCCGUUGUGAAAGCCCUGGGCUCAACCUGGGAAUUGCAGUGGAUACUGGGUCACUAGAGUGUGGUAGAGGAUAGUGGAAUUUCCGGUGUAGCAGUGAAAUGCGUAGAGAUCGGAAGGAACAUCUGUGGCGAAGGCGACUAUCUGGGCCAACACUGACACUGAGGCACGAAAGCGUGGGGAGCAAACAGGAUUAGAUACCCCCGUAGUCCCUGUCUCUUAUAA
RNAcentral lists this ribosomal RNA (301 nucleotides) under uncultured bacterium. RNAcentral describes it as "partial 16S ribosomal RNA". It matches the Rfam family "Bacterial small subunit ribosomal RNA", at positions 509 to 809 of the family's 1533-position model. The record is from RNAcentral.